Sardina pilchardus (European sardine) is the source of this 735-nucleotide long non-coding RNA. RefSeq lists it as uncharacterized. Lineage: Eukaryota; Metazoa; Chordata; Actinopteri; Clupeiformes; Clupeidae. The transcript is spliced from 5 exons. The record is from RefSeq and is a predicted model, not a curated record.
UAAAUGUUCACGUAACGAGACAGGAGUGAACUCUGCGCAUGUACAAGAGGAACGGAGGCGGGAAGCCGUAGCCGAGCCCAUUUCGAACUUUGUUUGAAACACACAGUCAGUUGAAGCCGUUGAAGAACAGCGUGAAGAUGGAACCUGCUACUGAGCACAUCAACUCUUAAGUGUGUCCCUGGAAGAUCUACCAUCAACUUCCAGAACUGCAACUGCUAGUACUGUCAGAUGGUGAAUGCUACUCAGGCAAACACCAUUGUUACACCACUUUGAAGGAGAGCCUGGUCAUUUGGUCCCCUCAGCUUCUCCCUUUCUCAGUGAUAUGUUCAUUGUGGCUGGGAUAAUUGUGGGGCACUCUUUCCUUCAUGGAGGACCCUGCUUGUCUGGACUCUGUGAUGUGGUUGUCCAUACUGCUUCGUGGGAGCCCAGACACGGCUACAGUAAACCUGGAGGACUGUGCAGACCUGGACAUUAGAGAAACAAUCAGGCUUCUGGAGGUGGAAUCAAACCUAUCAGCUGAAGAAAUGGGAAGGGUACAGAACGUGGCCUCUUCCUGGGACCUCCCUCCGCUAACCACAACCAACAGGGCCCUUAAUGCUCUGCGGUGAAAAAUGGAGCAACAAGGCUGACCGUGACAUCGGGAGAGCUGAGGCAGAUCAUCUUAAACAUGAUGCACCUGGACGGUCCGGUGGCGGAGACUUCAAGAAUUAAAUAAAAUUACAAUGAAAUGGAUAA